This 1416-nucleotide ribosomal RNA is filed under the name Nocardia beijingensis. Its description in RNAcentral is "16S ribosomal RNA". It matches the Rfam family "Bacterial small subunit ribosomal RNA". Lineage: Bacteria; Bacillati; Actinomycetota; Actinomycetes; Mycobacteriales; Nocardiaceae. The record is from RNAcentral.
UCGAGCGGUAAGGCCCUUCGGGGUACACGAGCGGCGAACGGGUGAGUAACACGUGGGUGAUCUGCCUCGCACUUCGGGAUAAGCCUGGGAAACUGGGUCUAAUACCGGAUAUGACUUCUGGUCGCAUGGCUGGGGGUGGAAAGAUUUAUCGGUGCGAGAUGGGCCCGCGGCCUAUCAGCUUGUUGGUGGGUAAUGGCCUACCAAGGCGACGACGGGUAGCCGGCCUGAGAGGGCGACCGGCCACACUGGGACUGAGACACGGCCCAGACUCCUACGGGAGGCAGCAGUGGGGAAUAUUGCACAAUGGGCGAAAGCCUGAUGCAGCGACGCCGCGUGAGGGAUGACGGCCUUCGGGUUGUAAACCUCUUUCGACAGGGACGAAGCGCAAGUGACGGUACCUGUAGAAGAAGCACCGGCCAACUACGUGCCAGCAGCCGCGGUAAUACGUAGGGUGCGAGCGUUGUCCGGAAUUACUGGGCGUAAAGAGCUUGUAGGCGGUUUGUCGCGUCGUCUGUGAAAACUCACAGCUCAACUGUGAGCUUGCAGGCGAUACGGGCAGACUUGAGUACUGCAGGGGAGACUGGAAUUCCUGGUGUAGCGGUGAAAUGCGCAGAUAUCAGGAGGAACACCGGUGGCGAAGGCGGGUCUCUGGGCAGUAACUGACGCUGAGAAGCGAAAGCGUGGGUAGCGAACAGGAUUAGAUACCCUGGUAGUCCACGCCGUAAACGGUGGGCGCUAGGUGUGGGUUUCCUUCCACGGGAUCCGUGCCGUAGCUAACGCAUUAAGCGCCCCGCCUGGGGAGUACGGCCGCAAGGCUAAAACUCAAAGGAAUUGACGGGGGCCCGCACAAGCGGCGGAGCAUGUGGAUUAAUUCGAUGCAACGCGAAGAACCUUACCUGGGUUUGACAUACACCGGAAACCUGCAGAGAUGUAGGCCCCCUUGUGGUCGGUGUACAGGUGGUGCAUGGCUGUCGUCAGCUCGUGUCGUGAGAUGUUGGGUUAAGUCCCGCAACGAGCGCAACCCUUGUCCUGUGUUGCCAGCGGAUUAUGCCGGGGACUCGCAGGAGACUGCCGGGGUCAACUCGGAGGAAGGUGGGGACGACGUCAAGUCAUCAUGCCCCUUAUGUCCAGGGCUUCACACAUGCUACAAUGGCCGGUACAGAGGGCUGCGAUACCGUGAGGUGGAGCGAAUCCCUUAAAGCCGGUCUCAGUUCGGAUCGGGGUCUGCAACUCGACCCCGUGAAGUUGGAGUCGCUAGUAAUCGCAGAUCAGCACGCUGCGGUGAAUACGUUCCCGGGCCUUGUACACACCGCCCGUCACGUCAUGAAAGUCGGUAACACCCGAAGCCGGUGGCCUAACCCCUUGUGGGAGGGAGCCGUCGAAGGUGGGAUCGGCGAUUGGGACGAAGUCGUAACA